RNAcentral lists this ribosomal RNA (464 nucleotides) under uncultured bacterium. RNAcentral's name for it is "bacterial SSU rRNA". It matches the Rfam family "Bacterial small subunit ribosomal RNA", at positions 338 to 795 of the family's 1533-position model. The record is from RNAcentral.
CCUANGGGGGGCUGCAGUGGGGAAUAUUGGGCAAUGGGCGCAAGCCUGACCCAGCCACGCCGCGUGAGUGAUGAAGGCCUUCGGGUCGUAAAGCUCUGUGGGGAGGGACGAACCUGCCUUGGCUAACAUCCAAGGUUCUGACGGUACCUCCUUAGCAAGCACCGGCUAACUCCGUGCCAGCAGCCGCGGUAAUACGGAGGGUGCAAACGUUGCUCGGAAUCAUUGGGCGUAAAGCGCACGUAGGCGGUUUGGUCAGUCGGGUGUGAAAGCCCUCGGCUUAACCGAGGAAGUGCAUUCGAAACUACCAAGCUUGAGUACUGGAGAGGGUCGCGGAAUUCCCGGUGUAGAGGUGAAAUUCGUAGAUAUCGGGAGGAACACCAGUGGCGAAGGCGGCGACCUGGACAGAUACUGACGCUGAGGUGCGAAAGCGUGGGGAGCAAACAGGAUUAGAUACCCGUNUANUC